GAUGAACGCUGGCGGCGUGCCUAAUACAUGCAAGUCGAGCGAACGGACGAGAAGCUUGCUUCUCUGAUGUUAGCGGCGGACGGGUGAGUAACACGUGGAUAACCUACCUAUCAGACUGGGAUAACUUCGGGAAACCGUAGCUAAUACCGGAUAAUAUUUUGAACCGCAUGGUUCAAAAGUGAAAGACGGUCUUGCUGUCACUUAUAGAUGGAUCCGCGCUGCAUUAGCUAGUUGGUAAGGUAACGGCUUACCAAGGCAACGAUGCAUAGCCGACCUGAGAGGGUGAUCGGCCACACUGGAACUGAGACACGGUCCAGACUCCUACGGGAGGCAGCAGUAGGGAAUCUUCCGCAAUGGGCGAAAGCCUGACGGAGCAACGCCGCGUGAGUGAUGAAGGUCUUCGGAUCGUAAAACUCUGUUAUUAGGGAAGAACAUAUGUGUAAGUAACUGUGCACAUCUUGACGGUACCUAAUCAGAAAGCCACGGCUAACUACGUG
This 497-nucleotide ribosomal RNA is filed under the name uncultured bacterium. RNAcentral's name for it is "partial 16S ribosomal RNA". It matches the Rfam family "Bacterial small subunit ribosomal RNA", at positions 28 to 507 of the family's 1533-position model. The record is from RNAcentral.